ACGUGUUGUAAUUGAGUAAGCUUCACAGAAUAGCAUUUUUUGAAGGAAUUUGCAGCCCUUUUUUAACGGCUAAGAACACAAGAAAGUCCAUUCUUUGAAGAUAAGUGGUAAUACUUGGAUAAAAUCGAAAAAAUAAAGGUUUUAGAACGAAUAUUUUGAUCUAAAACUCGAUUUAAUGUUGGCUUUUAUUGAAGCUCUUUCGAUUUCCUCGCCAUUGGUAAAAUC
Paramuricea clavata is the source of this 225-nucleotide non-coding RNA. The record is from the annotation of a GenBank genome assembly. Lineage: Eukaryota; Metazoa; Cnidaria; Anthozoa; Malacalcyonacea; Plexauridae.